Molecule: ribosomal RNA, 257 nt
Filed under: Zaptychopsis buschii
Lineage: Eukaryota; Metazoa; Mollusca; Gastropoda; Stylommatophora; Clausiliidae
Description: partial 16S ribosomal RNA
Source: RNAcentral
UAACUGUCUCUUAUUUUUUAUUAUUUAAGUUACUUAAGAAGUGAAAAUACUUCUAUUAAAAACUAAAGACGAGAAGACCCUUAGAAUUAUUAAUAAUAAAAAUACAAAUGUUUUUUAUCUUUUUGUUGGGGCAACAAAGGUUUAAUUUUAAAAACCUUUUUAUUUACUAAAAACAUGACGAACUAUGUUAAGAAAGAUAUAAUUACCUAAGGGAUAACAGCAUAAUUUAAAAUUUAAGUUUGUGACCUCGAUGUUGG